Molecule: ribosomal RNA, 503 nt
Filed under: uncultured bacterium
Lineage: Bacteria
Description: bacterial SSU rRNA
Rfam family: Bacterial small subunit ribosomal RNA
Source: RNAcentral
GAGUUUGAUCGUGGCUCAGAUUGAACGCUGGCGGCAGGCCUAACACAUGCAAGUCGAGCGGUAGAGAGAAGCUUGCUUCUCUUGAGAGCGGCGGACGGGUGAGUAAUGCCUAGGAAUCUGCCUGGUAGUGGGGGAUAACGCUCGGAAACGGACGCUAAUACCGCAUACGUCCUACGGGAGAAAGCAGGGGACCUUCGGGCCUUGCGCUAUCAGAUGAGCCUAGGUCGGAUUAGCUAGUUGGUGAGGUAAUGGCUCACCAAGGCGACGAUCCGUAACUGGUCUGAGAGGAUGAUCAGUCACACUGGAACUGAGACACGGUCCAGACUCCUACGGGAGGCAGCAGUGGGGAAUAUUGGACAAUGGGCGAAAGCCUGAUCCAGCCAUGCCGCGUGUGUGAAGAAGGUCUUCGGAUUGUAAAGCACUUUAAGUUGGGAGGAAGGGCAGUAAAUUAAUACUUUGCUGUUUUGACGUUACCGACAGAAUAAGCACCGGCUAACUCUGUG